CACUUCCAACCUCCAUUAUUCCUCUCCUCUAAUAUAGAAAAUACUCUAUUACCCAAGUAACCCAACCAAAGUACUAAUACUCACUUAACCUGCAAAGAAGCAACCACCGUCAACCAAAGAAAAAAUAAACCCUCCUCCCUUUUGCAUCAUGGGUAAGCAACAUCAAACUGACAACUCACGCUCCCGAAAAAACAGGAGCUAUUAAAUCCACACAAUCAAUGUAUCACAAUUGAUACAUCAGUUUUUAAUAGAAGCAACAAACCUUCCAUCUGUUCUGAUAGCUGGUUCUUCCUGAAAAGCAUCAAAGUGCUACUUUAUAGAUCAUACCAAGAUCAGUCCAUAAAUCUAUAAAUGCCAAGUCAUAGGGGACAAGCCCGAUGACCCACUAAAAUACACCCCACCAAACCAUUUAUUAAUAGACCUAAAAACCGUCAAUACAAACCCAUCAUAGGGGCCACCUCUCCACACACCAAUAUCUAAAACAUAAUUUAAAGCACAAAGGAAAUAUUAUACAUAACAACAUUUAUAAGUAAACAGGCAUUAUAUUAGUAUUUAUAAAACUUAUUAUCUAAAACUAAAAAAUAAUAACGCUCUCGACACCUAACAAACAAACCACAUAAAAUAAACUCGGCAACACUUUUUCCCGCCUGUUUACCAAAAACAUCGUCUUUUGUAAAAUUCAGAUAAAAGAUAACGCCUGCCCAGUGAACAUUUAAACGGCCGCGUUAGCGUGAGCGUGCUAAGGUAGCGUAAUAAACAGCCUUUUAAUUUGAGGCCAGUGAAAGGCAUCACGGAAAAUCCCUGUAUCUUAUGUGCUAAAAUAACUUUACCCCUGAGUGAAAAGGCUCAAAUAUUCAUAAAAGACGAAAAGACCCCGCGGAGCUUUACUUUAAAACCUCAAACCAAAACCUGGUUUACGUCAAAAGUUUGGUUGGGGCAACCUUGGAACAAACUCAACUUCCAACUCACCUAAAACCUAUACAAAAUUAGUUUUAGACCAAAAAGAAGCUACCCCGGGGAUAACAGCGUAAUCCAACUUAAAAGUACACAUCGAAAGUUGGGUUUGCGACCUCGAUGUUGGCUUAGGGUAAUCCAUAUGGUGCAGCCGCUAUAACAGGAUAGUCUGUUCGACUAUUACAACCCUACACGAGCUGAGUUAAGACCGGCGCAAGCUAGGUUGGUUUCUAUCUUUAUUGUUAACCGAUGCUCUUAAUUGUACGAAAGGACCUUAAGACAUAUACCAAAUAUACAUAUUAAACCACCACUAUAAUCACACAAUAUAAUAAAACAACC
RNAcentral lists this ribosomal RNA (1293 nucleotides) under Echyridella menziesii. RNAcentral describes it as "16S ribosomal RNA". The stretch from base 857 to 1194 matches the Rfam family "Archaeal large subunit ribosomal RNA", at positions 2150 to 2716 of the family's 2987-position model. The record is from RNAcentral. Lineage: Eukaryota; Metazoa; Mollusca; Bivalvia; Unionida; Hyriidae.